AAUUUUCAGAUUUUUUAAACCAGUUCUUUAUCAGUUUAAUAUCUGAUAUGUCCCCUAUCUGAGGACUAUAUAUUAAAUGAAUUUUUGGAACAGGGAGAUGGAAUGGGAGCUUGCUCCAUCCACUCCAUGCAUCAAUCUGGUAUUGCAGUACCUCCAGGAACAGCACACACACC
This 173-nucleotide small nuclear RNA is filed under the name Chelydra serpentina (North American snapping turtle). RNAcentral describes it as "U2 spliceosomal RNA (ENSCSRG00000015706.1)". It matches the Rfam family "U2 spliceosomal RNA". Rfam says of the family: U2 is a small nuclear RNA (snRNA) component of the spliceosome (involved in pre-mRNA splicing). Lineage: Eukaryota; Metazoa; Chordata; Testudines; Chelydridae. The record is from Rfam by way of RNAcentral.